CUCCCUUGAGACGUUAUCCGAUAUAUGCGUUUGAGUGGGGAAAGGUUUUGAAAGAAUUGAGCAACAAUGUCAUGAUUGGAUGAAGCCAAAAUAACUAUUAAAGUCCAAUAACCAUGAAGUUGAUUGGGCUACAGGCCCAAUUACUCUUCCUCUUUGAUUUUGAGCCAUCUCAUUAAUGAUUUCCAGAUCCAUAACUCCAAAGGCAAAGACAACAGCUUUUUCAAUAAGGUUCCAAUAGCAUAUUCUGGUGCAAGAUGUAAUUAAAUGUGAGGAUACGGUCAAAGGAAACCCAAAAACCAAAUCCACAACUGAAAACUAAUACAUCUAACAAUUAAUGUGGAUUUCAAACAUCUUUUAAUAUGUUAUCCAUCUAUAAUCCUCUGCUUCAAAUGUUGUUUCUUAGAAUAUCUCAUCACCUUCCUUUUUUUUUUUUUUAAAAGCGUUUUUAAGCCUGGCACCUGCGCGAAAACAACUGGGAAGUAGAACUAGCAGGCUUCAAAUGAACAGAAUUCAACGAGUAGGAGAAAUAAAACGUUUGAACAUAGGAGUUGCUCUUUUGUCUAAACAAACUCCAUGACCUUAUCUUCACACAUCAAUGUCAGGGUAGUGGCUAUAUAUGCUAUUAGGCGAUUUUGGAGUGAGAAAUGUUACUUGAUUCACUGGAAAAUUGAUGACACUAGCAGAAGCUUCUUUGGUUGAUAAUGCACCCAGAGGAACUGAUCAUCUUCAUCUACAAGUACAAGCGCGGUCGUCGACGCAGGGCAUUAACAGCCCAAGUGCUACCACAUGCUCCACGAUAUCAUUGGACAUUGGUGAUGAGAGUGGACAAGAUAUCAACGUUCAUAUUUUCUUGUCAUUUAUUACUGAGAAAAAAGAAAAAAAAGAAAGAAAGAAAAACAACACUACUUGCGAUAUAUAUAUUAUCCAAAGCUGAAAUAAUAAUAAUUACAAUGAGCUAUUUAUUAUUUAUUUACUCCUCCAAUGCUCUAAUAACUAAUCUUGCAACCAUACAUCGGAAACUAAUGACAAAGAAAUUAUUAAUGAAAACAAAGGAAAAUCAUCCAGAAGAAGCAGACAAGAGUGAAAGGCUAUAAUAGGAGUGAUUUGAGGAGGGAGGAAGAGGAGGAGCAGUGUCUUGCAAUUGCAGAAACAGGAAGUUGGUGAUGAAGUGGUGGUGAUUGAAGAGAGAUGGAUGCAGUUUCUGAGUAUCGGCGAUAGCGAGAGAGAGUAUGUACAUGUAAAACAAACCCAACACCAACACACAAACGCCAUACAUCACCUUUAAAGAAUUGAAGUAUAUGUAAUAAGCCACCAGCGUUAGAUAAUACAUUUUCUCCUUCACUCCCCCACUCAACGUUUCAAAUCUCACACAAAUUCACCCCACAAACAAACCCUCUGCCCAUAUAUAUAGCGUUACGUCCAUUUGAUUUUAUGUCACAAUUAAUCUCUUUUUAUAAUAAUAUAUAAAGGGAUUAUUAUUAUUAUUAUUAUUUAUCUUGUCUUCCAACUUCAAUCCAUGCGGGGCGCCUGAGAUAUACCUGUAGUUUUGGUGGGCAACAAAAGCAUGAAUUAUUUGACAAAAAAAAAAAAAGAAAAGCAAGCAUGAAUUAUUACUCUUGUCCGGUACGGUAUUGAUUUCCGUUGGAAAUGGUUAAAAAAAAAAGAAAAAGAAAAAAAAAGAGUGUACGUG
Molecule: long non-coding RNA, 1690 nt
Filed under: Manihot esculenta (cassava)
Lineage: Eukaryota; Viridiplantae; Streptophyta; Magnoliopsida; Malpighiales; Euphorbiaceae
Description: long non-coding RNA (MESC_LNC008242)
Source: RNAcentral